GAGACAUCAAUUCAUUCAAGACUCUCCGCAAGGACAAUUUAGAAUUAGUUAUAUUUUAAUUUAGUAGUUUAGAAUUAAUCAAAGUGUAAUUUAAAAGUUUAGUGUUUUUUAGACAAGCUUGUGCACAUUGGGCCAAGAUUUUAGCAAAAAAAUAUGAUGGGCCCAAAUUGUGGGGAUGACACAUGGCACCUAGGUUUCUUUAGGGUGGACCACACCCUUUUUUUUAGAGACACACGUCCCUAGCUAGGGUGACCAGCCUUCUAGGCUGGGCGGUUGGAACGUGUUUUGGUAGAUAGCUUUUCUUUAGAACCAUGUUGAUACUGUUGGAUUUUGGUUGAUGGAGAAAUGCAU
This 351-nucleotide long non-coding RNA is filed under the name Vigna radiata. Its description in RNAcentral is "long non-coding RNA (VRAD_LNC001173)". Lineage: Eukaryota; Viridiplantae; Streptophyta; Magnoliopsida; Fabales; Fabaceae. The record is from RNAcentral.